RNAcentral lists this ribosomal RNA (497 nucleotides) under uncultured bacterium. RNAcentral's name for it is "partial 16S ribosomal RNA". It matches the Rfam family "Bacterial small subunit ribosomal RNA", at positions 28 to 507 of the family's 1533-position model. The record is from RNAcentral.
GAUGAACGCUGGCGGCGUGCCUAAUACAUGCAAGUCGAGCGAACAGACGAGGAGCUUGCUCCUCUGACGUUAGCGGCGGACGGGUGAGUAACACGUGGAUAACCUACCUAUAAGACUGGGAUAACUUCGGGAAACCGGAGCUAAUACCGGAUAAUAUAUUGAACCGCAUGGUUCAAUAGUGAAAGACGGUUUUGCUGUAACUUAUAGAUGGAUCCGCGCCGAAUUAGCUAGUUGGUAAGGUAACGGCUUACAAAGGCAACGAUGCGUAGCCGACCUGAGAGGGUGACCGGCCACACUGGAACUGAGACACGGUCCAGACUCUUACGGGAGGCGGCAGUAGGGAAUCUUCCGCAAUGGGCGAAAGCCGGACGGAGCAACGCCGCGUGAGUGAUGAAGGUCUUCGGAUCUUAAAACUCUGUUAUUAGGGAAGAACAAAUGUGUAAGUAACUAUGCACGUCUUGACGGUACCUAAUCAGAAAGCCACGGCUAACUACGUG